AGAGUUUGAUCAUGGCUCAGGACGAACGCUGGCGGCGUGCUUAACACAUGCAAGUCGAACGAGGUUCAUCCCUUCGGGGAGAAGACCUAGUGGCGAACGGGUGAGUAACACGUGAGCAACCUGCCCCGAAGACCGGGAUAACAGCGGGAAACCGCUGCUAAUACCGGAUACCCCCAUCGGACGACAUCGCCCGAUGAGGAAAUGGAUUCCGCUUCGGGAGGGGCUCGCGGACUAUCAGCUUGUUGGUGAGGUAACGGCCCACCAAGGCUACGACGGUUAGCUGGUCUGAGAGGACGAUCAGCCACACUGGGACUGAGACGCGGCCCAGACUCCUACGGGAGGCAGCAGUGGGGAAUAUUGCGCAAUGGGCGAAAGCCUGACGCAGCAACGCCGCGUGAGGGAUGACGGCCUUCGGGUUGUAAACCUCUUUCGAGCAGGGACGAUAAUGACGGUACCUGCAGAAGAAGCUCCGGCCAACUACGUGCCAGCAGCCGCGGUAAUAC
This 503-nucleotide ribosomal RNA is filed under the name uncultured bacterium. RNAcentral describes it as "bacterial SSU rRNA". It matches the Rfam family "Bacterial small subunit ribosomal RNA", at positions 8 to 526 of the family's 1533-position model. The record is from RNAcentral.